Molecule: transfer RNA, 70 nt
Filed under: Pristis clavata (dwarf sawfish)
Lineage: Eukaryota; Metazoa; Chordata; Chondrichthyes; Rhinopristiformes; Pristidae
Also listed under: 1 other name
Description: tRNA-Pro
Rfam family: tRNA
About the family: Transfer RNA (tRNA) molecules are approximately 80 nucleotides in length. Their secondary structure includes four short double-helical elements and three loops (D, anti-codon, and T loops).
Source: RNAcentral
CAGGAGGUAGUUUAAUGUAAAAUCUUGGCUUUGGGAGCCAAGGAUGGGAGUUUAACCCUCUUCUUCCUGA